Molecule: long non-coding RNA, 2751 nt
Filed under: Pan troglodytes (chimpanzee)
Lineage: Eukaryota; Metazoa; Chordata; Mammalia; Primates; Hominidae
Description: lincRNA
Source: RNAcentral
UUUCACAGGUUUCUCUCCCUUCCUGAGCAACGGCAGCUGAGUGCCAUGAGAGGACAGUGACAACCUUGGGGCCUCAUGGUGAGGGUGGCAGAAACUUUGUUAGCCUGGGUGCUCAGGGUGGACAGCUGCUCUUGCCAACCGGGAACAUUUGCCUUGAGCUCUUUUGUAAGUGACAGAUAAGCUUUUAUUGUACUUCAGCCAAGAUACAAACAUUGGACGUAUUUGUACAGCAGCUAAAGGUGCAAUCCACAACCUACCUCCUCUGCAUCCCAGUUUUGCUCCAGAGGAGAAGUUCACGAGGUGGAUUGGCCUGAUGGGUCCUGGCUCCACUGGGAAGACCCCUGGGAGAAUCUGAAUCUUCUUGGAGGACUUCUCUGCUCUGCUUCUAGUUCUCCACCUCCAGGUUGGGAGAGGGUCCUGACACCAAAAGUUCAUUUCAGAAUCUGCCUUUCAGCCCUUCCUUCUGGUCAAAGGUGUGAGUAUGGCUGGCAUGAUGGGAUGGAGAGAACAUGGGCUUCUCAAUCCCCAAUCUACCACUAGUAAGCUAUGGGAGCUGCAAUCCUCUCAGACCUCCGUUUCCUAUUCAUAAAAAUGGGAACAAUAACACUCCCCUCAUGGGACUGCUUCUAGGUGCAGUGACAGGGCAGCGGCACCAUCUAACACAUUAAAAUGCUCAGUUUUUCUUGCUAAUACCAUAAGGAGAUUUAAAAUAUAAGUGUAUCUAUAAAUUCCCGGACCCCAGUGUUGCCCCGUUGAAUAGAAACUACUGGAGGUUGGGUUCUGAGAAUGUGAAUUUUUGAGGCACUCCCAGUGAGACUCUGAGAAGCCGCGAUGUUUGGGAAUGACAGCUUUUCCAUUCUUCAAUUCCAGAUGCUAUUCAUAAUGAGAUGUGCUACCGAUAACAACUUCUCAGGAAAAAAUGUGUGAAUUACCAAUUACAUUUAUACAUUUCAACCUCAGACUCAUUAAAAAUUGCACCCCUGGACUGUGCAUUGUCUCAGCUGUGGUCACAGGACUGAAGGAGAAGUCUAUGUGGUGUGAGGCAAUAACCAUGACUGUGAUUAGAUGGCAGCCUCGAUGAUCACCUGGUAUAUGCCAUGCUGGGAGGCCACUGAGAAUGCUCUGCAUCAUCCCCCAGGCCUGGGAUGCAGAGUGUCGGGGAAUCAGUCCUGUGUCUCUCUUCUCCAGCAUCUCUCAGCUGGAUGCACUGGGCUCUCUUUGUGGUUCAGACCUUCAGGAGCCAAGCCAAAUUGAGUCAGAGCAUGCUCCUCAGUGUCUGCCCCACCACUGAGAGGGGUCAGCCUUCACCUGGCAUCUGGCAGACCAGUCUGCACCGUGGGGCUUCCUCGUUGCUGUUGGAGCGUCUUUGCUCCUCACAGAGUUGGGAAGGGUGGGAGGGCCUCUUUCAGAGCUCUCUGCCCCUUUCCCUGUGUUGGCUGAGUCCCUAGGACUGUACUUGUGCGUUGAUUUCCCUCUUCGGUUCAUUGUAUUUGUCAGGAUUCAGGCAGGAACACACAAACCAGGCUUGGUGUAUCUGAUAGAGGAAUUUAACACUGGCUAUAGAAUGUGUAGAUGUUGGAAGGCUGGGAUGGCAAGAGGGAGACUGUGAGGUGGCCCAGGGCUUAUGACCUAUAGAAAGCUGCUGCCCCAGCUAAGGCUGGGGGAACAAAAAGAAGGAGGGUUAUCAUUAGGAUUUGGGAUGCAGAGGAGGAGCCAUAGCCUCGGGAGCAUUGCUGUGGAGGAGGGACUGCUGCAGCUAGAGCUGAGAUGAUGGAAAUAGCACAGCUGCUUGAGAGACAUCACCUGGAGAAGAAGGAACGAGAGAAAGAGUGAGAGGAAUAGAAGAUCAACACUACUCUCCCAGCAUCUCUUAUUGAGAGAGCUUGUGAAGAAGUCAGCUGGCAAAGGAGCCAAGUGUGACUGAGCGGUGUGCAGAGAGUGUGGUGGGCCUGGGAGACAAUAGGCAAACAAUGAGUACAUUCAGGCAGUCAGCACAAAUUUACUAAGUACCUUUUUUUUUGAGACUGAGUCUCACCCUGUUGCCAGGCUGGAAUGCAGUGGCGCGAUCUUGGCUCGCUGCAACCUCCACCCCCCAGGUUCAAGUGAUUCUCCUGCCUCAGCCUCCUGAGUAGCUGGGACUACAGACACACCCCACCACGCCCGGCUAAUUUUUGUAUUUUUACCGGAGAUGGGGUUUCACCAUGUUGGUCAGGAUGGUCUUGAUCGCUUGACAUCGUGAUCCGCCUGCCUUGGCCUUCCAAAGUGUUGGGAUUAUGGGCGUGAGUCACUGUACCUGGCCUACUAAGUGCCUUUUAAAUGCCAGACACUGUUGUGAUGCUGGGGGGUGAGCAGGGAACAAAACAGAAAAUUUCCUGCCAUCUAGGAGCCAGCAUCUUAGUUGGGGAGACAGUCAGCAAACAUAAAAAAAGUAAAAUAUGUAAUCUCUUAAAUGGCAGUAAGAGCUAUAGAGAAAAAUGAAGACGGGAAGGGGGCAGAGAGUGGUGGGAAUGAGGGGGUGGGCAGGAAAGGUCUCACUAAGAACAGUUUAAGCAAAGACCUGGAAGAAGCCAGGCAGCGAGCCCCGAGGCUCUUCGGGGAAGAGCAUGGCAGGCAGAGAUACAGCAAGGGCAAAGGCCUUGAGGCCUGCCUUGGUUAAGGAAAAAUAAAGAGGCCUGAGCAGAGUGUGCGAGGGGAGAAGAAGUAGGAGAUGAGGGCAGGGGGAUACAGCUGAGCAGUUUGGGCUCCAGAAAU